UUCAGAGGCGGCUUCGAGGAGUCAGGAUAAGGCAUCAGCACACACGCCCUCAGUUUAAGAGGGCCGGAGGGGAGAAAAAACCCUGUGCUCAAGGCGGAGUCUCUCACCUUCCCCGCCGCCCGCCGCCCGCCGCCCGCCGCGCCGCCCCGGCCGAGUCCACCGUUGUGGAAACAGAAACCGCCCUUCCAGAGCACAGGGUGGAUAUGCAAACAGGAAAACCCUGCGGCGCCGCCUCUUGAACCCCCGGGCAAGGCGAUUUAAUUCUUUGGAGGGGGAAACGGAGGGCGACGGGCACGCGGCCCCGGGCUGCGGCCGCUGCUUCGUGCCCUCAGUCAGGAGCUCGGCGCGCAGGAUUCAGGACUCGGGACUCGGGACUCGGGACUCGAGACUCGGGACUCGGGAUUCGGGAUUCGGGACUCGGGACUCGGGACUCGGGACUCGGGACUCGGGACUCGGGACUCGGGACUCGGGAUUCGGGAUUCGGGAUUCAGGGUCUCCUACCCGAAAGCGGGUCGGAGCGUCCGGGUUACGGAGCGGAGACGAAUGGGGUUCCGGUCUACACGGAUUACACGACCCAGGCGUCGGGGUUUAG
RNAcentral lists this long non-coding RNA (592 nucleotides) under Chinchilla lanigera (long-tailed chinchilla). RNAcentral's name for it is "lncRNA (ENSCLAG00000029242.1)". Lineage: Eukaryota; Metazoa; Chordata; Mammalia; Rodentia; Chinchillidae. The record is from RNAcentral.